UGGUAUUUAUGAGUUUAUGACAGUCCUGGAUCAGCUCUGGAGACAGACUGAGAACCGUCAGAGUCGGGAAACCUAAAGGAACGACAGAAAUACAGACUCACUGAACAUCUGAAAAUCAUGGUCUGAACUGUGGCCUGCCUGAACUAACACCAUCAUCAGAUACAAGCAGAGGUGGGAGAAAGUCACUCAUGUGGAAGUCACAGGUAAGUCCAAAAAGUCGAGUCGAGUCAUUUCUCAGGUCAACUAAGUCACAGCUAUACUAAAUUCUGAUACUCUAACACCGUCUCUACAUUCAGAUCAGUUAAGACCGUUAUAAUUCAACAACGCAGCGUCACAAAGUCAGUAGGAAAUGCGACCAUUAAAAGGGACCGUCCGGAGUUAUCUAGUACCAUCCGGCAGAGGCGGUCUGAACUGUCACCCCUAUACUCCGCGACGUUUAAGCUAGGCUAAGUUAGCGGUCCGCUAACUAUUUAAGUCUGAUACUCCUUAGUAUUAGUAAUUAUUAAUUAUUUGGUAUAUAUAUAUAUUAUAUAUAUUAUUAUUAUUAUAUUAUAUAUUAUUAUUUAUUAAUUAAGUAUUAAUAUAUAUAGUAUUCCACAGACAAAAGGGGACUCAGGUAAGACACGAAUGUUGAAGUAUCACUUUAAAGCCGAUGUUAGUUUAAAUAUGCUACGACGUUAGCAUUCAUGUUAGCACACGUUACCUUUCUGAGUAACAUUUUACAAGCUAACACGUUCGCUAAGAGCAUUUUUACCGCGCAUUUUAUUGAGAAGACAUAAACAAUAAGGAGCUUGUCUCGGUGAUAAUUCUGCUAUCAAAGAAACGGUGGCUUUCUAACAGGCGUAACAGCUAGCUCACAAAGGUUAUUCACCUAGCUUACCUUUCUUUGUGGGUGUUGUAGUGACGGAUAAAGUUCUCCUCUUCAUACUGUCAUCGACAACAAAAUCCCUAAAUCCAAACUGAAUUAUUCUCGGUCGGACUGCUGCUCCUGUGCCGACCUGCAGCGUGCUGCUGCGUGCAUCGCGCCGUGUUAUCACCCGAUCAUGUUUCAAAAUAAAACUCAGUUUCUAACGUGGUCUAACUUUGAUAGAAUAAAAUUAAAAAACGACAAAGAUACAAAUAUUAAGAUGAAAAAAGUCUUUUUGAGUCAUCCGUCUCAAGUCUAAGUCAAGUCUCGAGUCAUAAAAACCAAGUCAAAGUCCAGUCAAGUCUUUUGUCGGUGUUGGUCAAGCAAGUCUCAAGUCCUUAAAUUUGAGACUCGAGUCUGACUCGAGUCAUAUCAUGUGACUCGAGUCCCUCACCUCUAGCCUGGCUGGGCCAUCCUGUUGCGUGAAUCACUUGACGUUCCUUCCCACAACAGUCUGGACUUCGGCCCAUUGGAAGCCCUGAAAGUGGGCAGGAGUACUUUCCUUGAUAGACAGACUACUGUAACCAAUCACCGUAACCAAGCAUCUGAUGUCAUCACAGUUGCUUGGUUACGGUGAUUGGUUACAGUAGUACAUAGACCAAUCAGGGGCUGCCUUUCCCUGUUGUCCAGGUAACAGUGAAAACACGGUCUCUGAUUGGCCCGGUUAUUUUCUGAUUGGGAAUACACGCUCUCUAUGGGCCGAAGUCCAGACUGUGGUGGGAAGGAACGUCAAGUGAUUCACGCAACAGGACGGCCCAGCCAGGCUACCUUACCUCUGGAUUAAAGAAGUGGGAUUGGGGACAGAGAGCUGCAGGAUGAAGUAGAUUUUUUAAUCUGAUCCUAUAGGCUGGAAAUUUAAGACAUAAUUUUAAUGAUGUAUUUAUUUAUACAGACACUCACAUUAACGAGUGGAUCAUGUGAUGACUGACUUUGUUAUUAUGAACACAGACAGACCUGACCUCUGCUGCCCCACAGCUGAAAUACAGAAUAAUGUCGGCCUCCAAAGUUCGUGAUAAUAAUGACUCAAAGAGGGGGGGGAGGGUAUCCAGGAAUAGAAAACUGGACUCAGAGACAGAGAGGAAGUCCAGAGUCCAGAGGAGCGUUCUCCUCAUUCUUCACAUUCCUCUCAUAUCUCACACUUCCUCCCUCUCUCUCUCUCUCUCUCUCUCUCUCUGUGGAUCUUUCCAGUAAAUCGCUUCUUCUUCCAGGACACUGAGCCAACUACCUGCUUCCUUAUUUGGUCAUUGAGACGAUUAAAAGGAACUGAUGAUUAAAAAAAAAGAGAAAGUCCUGGAAAAACCCAAACAGAGAAGAAAACAUGUCCGUUUGUUUUUCCUCCAGGAUUCUGAGGAAUUUACUCCAGAGAAGGAGAAAAACAGCUGAUCGCCCUCUGACUCAUCAGCUGGUCGGUCCAAACUGAGGUUCCCUUUUUCUAAUACAGAGUCCUGCAGCUGAUAGGAAAACAAGAGUAAGUGUGUGUGCAGAGUCUCAGUUUCUCUGUAAAUAAAGUAAAACUACAAAGUAAAGGAACACAGACCAGGACCCUGUUCUGACCCGGAUCCUGGAAACUGGACCUCAGACCGUCUCAUUGUUCAGAACCCAACAGGACUCAGUGUGUGUGUGUGUGUGUGUGUGUGUUAGGUGUACACAGCAACAGCACAGAGUCGUCUCCCACGGCAACAGAGUUGUUUGGGAAUCCCUCCGUCUGCUGCUGAUGGAGGCCAGCGGAGGGGGCGGGGCAUAAGGGGGCCUUUAUUAGACGACCCAGAAUCCCGCAGGGCUUGAGGUGUGUGUGUGUGUGUGUAUGUGUGUGUGUGUGUGUGUGUGUGAGAGUGUGUGUGUGUGUGUUUGAGGACCAAACUGUAAAAAUAAACCUUUAAAAUCUUCAAA
Molecule: non-coding RNA, 2797 nt
Organism: Xyrichtys novacula (pearly razorfish)
Lineage: Eukaryota; Metazoa; Chordata; Actinopteri; Labriformes; Labridae
Source: the annotation of a GenBank genome assembly